UUUAAAUUUAUUAAACAUUUAUAAUAAAUACAUUACAAACUGUACAGAAUACAAAAUACCUAACCUUAAAACAAUAUCAAAAAAAUUCAAGUCAUGCAGAAAUCUAUAUACGUUCUAUACAGAAUUAAACGAUGUAUAUCGACUUAUAAUAAAAUGCAUUAACGUCCGGCCUUUCUCCGCAGUGAAUAACAUUAUUGGCGACGUUUUACAUACAAAUAUAAAGUGUUUCGUUAAAAAUUAAAAGGCUCGGUGCCAGCGCGUUUUUUUGUUCAAAAAUAUCAAUUACGGGGAAAACUCGUGAUUCGUAGGGUGGGUCCGGUUAGUUGGUUGUUGGAAGAACAUGAAUUCCAACAGCCCGUAUUGAACUCCAUUUUUCAAUAUUUCUGUCAAAAAUUGUGUGUUAUGUCUUACAAUUUCAACAUUUUUUUUCUUCUUCUAAUGGGGAUUUUGGCCUUUAAGACCAACUCUCCAAAUAAAUUUACCGCUAUCUCACUCUAUCCAUUGCUAUCUCUUUUUCUGUGUUCUCGUCCUAAGCGCGGUCUACCUAACGGUCUUUUCCCAAUCAGCUCUUUCUCGAUGGCUUCAAUUUUCGUAUGCAUUAUCUUUUCUCCAAGCGUAUCCAGCUCACAUACGUUUACUCUUUCUAGUUUCUUUUUUCAUAUUUGAUUGUUAAAACUAGUUUAUAAGCACCUAAUUGUGAUGUUUUAUCCAUUCCACCGAGUUGACGUCAAUGCAAGAUUCAUAGUCUUCUAAGUAUUUUCCGUUCAAACACUGCAGUAAAUCGUAUUUCUUCAUUUUUCCUUAAGGUCCACGUCUCUGAUUCAUAUACGACUAUUGGCCGUAUGUAAUUGGAGUUUAAGUCUUUUGAAUAAUACUUUAGAGCUGCAAUCUAUAUUAUUUACUUUUAUUUUUAAGUUGUUAUCUUGCGUUAUUAUCAAUCUUAGGUACUUGAAGUAUGGCUGCACUCUCUUGCAAACAUAUGGUCCUCUAACGUUCUUUUCACCAACAAAUCCAUACCAAUAUUUGAAAUCGAAUUAAAAAUAGGAGUUCAACGCGGACUGUAGAAUGUUGUUAGAAUUAAAAAAGAAACGAUAAAUAAAUAGUUAAUCGGCAAUGAGAUAUAUCUUAUCACAAUCAAAUUCGUCCGCACUAUUUCCCCUCAAACUAUGGGUAUCUGGCAGUAGAUUAGUGAAAAACUCCCGUCGUUAAGCGGUCAUCGAAAUGUUAACAAUAAAACAAUUUGGAAAACCGGCACCGGACCCCUUGAAACGUUUCAUUAUUCACGAUUGAUUGUCUAUACAAUAAUUUAUAGAUAUACAUAUUAACUAACAUAUUAUAUACAUAACCUUAUUUGUACUUUAUCAGUGAUAAAAAUAUUACUUAUUUUAUUCUAUAAUUUUAUGAUUACAUACGUAUGGGCAGUAAUUUUUUUUUUCGCGUGACAUUCUUUAUAAUAUUCGGCCCAAUAUUAUGUACGCACAUGCAAAUAACGUGUCGUAUUUUUAGUAUCGUGCGUAUACACACGCAUCCGCGAAUAAUAUUUUAACAAUUUAGUUUAAAAACUGCCUGAGCCUAUAUAAAUAAUAUAAAUUUACCGGAAGACAGCGUACACCAUCGUCGCAUGAUGGUAAUAAUUAGGGCUCGUGAAUUAUUGCACUUACAAUUCACAAAAAAGGCGCUUAAAAACGUCAAAAAAUCCCUAACAGAAAGCACUUCAAACAAAUACCUAUGAUUAUAAGGACAAAUUGAAGAAGGAUUCAAAGGUCUUGUGUCCAAUGACUCUUAUCUAACUUAUUAAAUGCGUUUUUUCUAACACGAUACAAAUGAUUAACAAAAAGUAAUUGUGUUUCAAAAAAAAAUUAUACGUAUUAUAAAACAAAUACCUUUGAGUCAAUAAUUUGUACAGCGUUAGACAAAUUUUUUUUUUUUUAAUAUUUUCCAUACGUUUUUAAGCGUUUUUUUGUCAAUUUUAAGCGCAUGUUCCGAGCCCUAGUAAUAAUGAUUAAACGUUACAAUAGGUAUUACCUGUAUAAUAUACACGUGUGGUGUCGUAUGGUUAAUGUUGAAAAUUUGACAACGUCACAUUUUCGAUCGGCAGAACCGAUUUCGUGCAGUUGAUUUCAAUAUUAGAAUGAGUUGGUCUGCUACGUUAAACUUUUAAAGGAUACAAACAUUUGCGUGUUUUUGCUCGUUUGGUUUGUCUUCGGUAUUUUAAUUUUCAAGCGUAGUAAUAUUUUACAUGCACGGAUCUCGAUUGAAAAUUAAAAUAUCGUAAAUAAACCAACGCACAAACACAAACAAUAUUCUUAUCUUUGAGUUCGAUAACUGGCCAAUUAUUCAUUCUACAGAACGGAUAGAAUACCAAAUAACUUUGACGUUAAAAUUAACAGCACAACAUUCGAUCUACCGGAGGAAAAUUUAACAUUAUCCGUAACAUAAUAAUGUACAGGAACGUUAUACAGAGUGAUUUUUAAAUUCAGGUUUCAUAACACCUUUUAUUUGGAAGUAACUGAUUUAAAUCUUUGCGGGCUAGUAACGCGUUCCUUUCUUCGUCGAGUCUGAAUAGUGCAUGAUAAAAUCUAAACUGUCUAAUAUACAUGUUAUAAGUUAUAACCUGUAGGCUACAGAGUACGAGUAUUAUAACGAGUAUUUUUAUACGCUUUCGAAUAUAGUAUGUAUUGAUUGAAAAAAAAAAAAACAGUCAAUCUAUACUGAAAUGUGUUUCAUCACCAGCCAAUUCUGUGCGUACAGUGUUAUUACGCAUGUGUUGAGCAUAUUUCGCAUUUUUAGAGAAUGUUUUAGAAUCUCGUGCAUUUGUAAGACAUAUUUUAGAUGUAUUAUAAAAACGUUAAUGAAGUGCUCUUUUUUUAUGACUCAACAAAUCUACAAUUACAGAAUGAUAUUGUCAUCAAGGUAUACAAAUAUGGAUGAGCGCUGAGCAGGCGAGCUAAUUACUUUAGUACCCGCGAGUGUUCGAUAAACUUUUAUUAUUAUAUGGGUGGCGGGGUUUUUUGUUUUUUUUUUUUUUGUUUGUUUUCGAGAACACACGUUCAGGGCACAGUUCGGCAAUUUUCAGGGCACGACUGCGUCUAUAUAUUCAAUAGGUUAUUAAGGCAUACGUGUUGUCUAUGAAUCUCUGAUUUGAUUAAUAACAAUACUUUUUCGUACGGUCUCGGCGCGGCACAGUUUAGCGACGAAUAUUUUUCCCCACGGAAUAUCUAUCGUAUACACCGCGUGUAUAGAGUGAGUUCUUUUUAUCACGAACCAGAAUUUUUCUGGGAAGAUUUUAACGGAAGAGUAUCUAAUAAAUUACACGAUUGCACUCUGUACUCUACACCUCCGGUCUAAACUUUAAACGGCUAUAAUUCACAAACGGCAAAUCUGAUAAUAGCUGUGUUAUGCACAUCAAAAUUACUAGAAAAAUAUUCGAAAAUGGGCGGUUCUUGUUCGAAAAACAAAAGUUUAUACUUAUUUAAGGUAUACGGAGUAGGGGUGAAAAUUAAAAACGUUCUUAAAAUAAAGCUUAACCGAUUGCAUGGUAAUAAAAAAAAAAAAAACCAGAAAUCAAAUUCGCUUAAAAUCUUCCGAGAAAACUACUGGUUAUUUGUGAUAAAAAAAAAAAUCACCCUGUAUAUUGUGUAGGUGUAUAUCAAGUGCGUACGUAUAUAUGCGUACAUAAAUAUGCGUGUUGCCGUUUUGUCGACAAAAAAACUGUGCGCGUAAAAUGAAAAUUGAAAAUAAUGGAAAAAAAAGCCACUACGAAAAGUAGACGGACGCGGUAAAAAAUAAUAAUAACGACGGCGGCGGGGGACUUCGGAAGCUACGAUACGGAUAUAUACGUAUAUACGUAUACUGCAGUAAAAAUAACUGCGCGGUAUAAAAUAAUAUUAAAAUACAUAUAAAACUGGGGGCGGCGAUCGCGUGUGCGUAUGAUGAG
Molecule: long non-coding RNA, 3937 nt
Filed under: Cinara cedri
Lineage: Eukaryota; Metazoa; Arthropoda; Insecta; Hemiptera; Aphididae
Source: RNAcentral